This 406-nucleotide ribosomal RNA is filed under the name uncultured bacterium. RNAcentral describes it as "partial 16S ribosomal RNA". It matches the Rfam family "Bacterial small subunit ribosomal RNA", at positions 29 to 526 of the family's 1533-position model. The record is from RNAcentral.
AUUGAACGCUGGCGGCAGGCCUAACACAUGCAAGUCGAACGAGUGGCGGACGGGUGAGUAAUGUCGGGGAAACUGCCUGAUGGAGGGGGAUAACUACUGGAAAAGGUAGAUAAUACCGCAUACCAGCAGAUGGGCCCAGAUGGGAUUAGCUUGUCGGUGGGGAAACGGCUCACCAAGGCGACGAUCCCUAGCUGGCCUGAGAGGAUGACCAGCCACACUGGAACUGAGACACGGCCCAGACUCCUACGGGAGGAAGCAGUGGGGAAUCUUGCACAAUGGGCGCAAGCCUGAUGCAGCCACGCCGCGUGUAUGAAGAAGGCCUUCGGGUUGUAAAGUACUUUCGUCGGGGAGGCGUUAUCCGCAGAGGAAGCCCCGGCUAACUCCGUGCCAGCAGCCGCGGUAAUAC